AAAAAAAGUUUUAUGGGCGGAUGGAAGGGGCCGGGGCAGCGCCGGGCAAGGGAAGGGCCGGAGCAGCGGCGGCAGGCGGCCGAGAGGGGCGGCGGCGGCGGGCUUCCCGCGCCGCGGAGCCCGGCCCGAGAGCGCCUUCCACCCUCCUGCCUCCUGCUCCCGCCGCCCCGGGGCGCCGCCAUGACGCCUGAUCUGCUCAACUUCAAGAAAGGAUGGAUGUCGAUCCUGGACGAGCCAGGAGAGGUAGGAGGGCUGAAGUGGGAGGGCAGGAGGGUGACCUGCCACAGUGCCCUGUAGGGUCCCUGGGGCACCCCAGGAGGCUGAGCUGCUUCCCAGGCCUGUCCCUGGCCUCUGGGUAGAAGGGGUGCAGGGGAGGGGCCAGAGUGGGAAUCCUAAGGGCACAGUGUUUCUUGUCCAACAGAAAAGGGCCUUGGGCUGUGGGGAUGGGAGCACAGAGGCUGCUGGUCAUCUCUCAGCCUCUUGGAGUAGUCUGCAGUGUAUAAAAGUCAUCAGGGACGGGGUGACUGACGCCCUGCACCCAUGCCCUCCUCUCACCAGGAGCCCUCCUGGCAUCCGAGGGGCUGGGUGGAAAGAUUCACAGAGGUUAUCCCGCCUGAGACAUGUACAAAUUCCCAAGACUCAGCCGUCAACAGCCCCCUGCCCCCGGGGUGGGGCUUCAAGCACAUUGCUUGAUGUCUCACCAACCUGGGGCCCCACUGGUUGAGUCAUGGCUUCCUCUGGCCUCAGUGACCCCAUCUGUGAAAUGGGCAUAAUGGAGAAUGACAAUUGUUUUCAGGGUGGUUAACAGAGUCACAGAGGUCAAGCACGUAAAGGGUCCCACACAGCCCCCAUGCCUGCUAGGGCCUCAGCUAAUAACACUGCCCUUUCUCUAAUGUGUCCAUCCUUAGGACCAGAAGGGACGGUGGCCUUUCACUGCCUCUGCCCUUUCAGCUGCCAGGCUGGAGCUGGCUUCCUGCCCACCCCACUGGGGAGGGGACGUCUCCCGGCCCCUGUCCUGCAUGCGCCUGCAGCUUGGUCUGCGUGCAGGCCACAUGCCGGGGAGGGCUCAGAGCCAAAGGGAAUCUCAUUGUGUUUCCUACCCACAUGCUUUAUUCCCUCCAGCCCACGGCUUUCCAUCCCGAAGCCUGCUCGCCUGUCCUCUGGUGGCUGCGCUCCAGGCUCACACAAGGCCUGGCACCCGGCCAGUGACCCCCCUCUCCCCUGCAGGGUCUCCGAAGGGCAGAGAUUAUGGGCCCCACCCAGAACUGGCCGUUACUCAUUCUCUU
This 1286-nucleotide long non-coding RNA is filed under the name Equus asinus (donkey). RNAcentral's name for it is "lncRNA (ENSEASG00005034988.1)". The record is from RNAcentral. Lineage: Eukaryota; Metazoa; Chordata; Mammalia; Perissodactyla; Equidae.